Molecule: long non-coding RNA, 2721 nt
Filed under: Medicago truncatula (barrel medic)
Lineage: Eukaryota; Viridiplantae; Streptophyta; Magnoliopsida; Fabales; Fabaceae
Description: long non-coding RNA (MTRU_LNC004635)
Source: RNAcentral
AAACGUGGUCUAACCCGCCGGCUUGGUCCAUUUGACCUUAUACUUCUCGGGAUCGGUGCUUCCAUUGGUGCCGGUAUCUUCGUUGUCACCGGCACCGUUGCUCGCACUUCCGGACCUGGUAUGUAUAGAAUUUUAACUUUAACUCAACAGAAUUUUUACUCAAGAAAGUUAAUUGAGAGAGGGAACAUCCAUCUUGUAUGUCCAAUAAAACCUGGGACAAUCAUACUUCAUCAUGCUUAUAAGUUAUAUGUUUGUUUUUUUUUUUUUUUUGACAAAAUGAUUAUAACAUGGUUAUAAAAAUAAAUUAGUAUAAUUUUUAUGUUAGAUUUUUUUUAUAAGAAUGAUAUAUAUGUAUCUCAAGAUGUACAGCAAGCAACAUGUUGGUUAGGUACACUCCUUCAAAAAAAAAAAAAAGAUGUUGCUUAGGUACAUCCACAAUAUUUCUAUAAAAAUAAUAGUAUUACUUUUUUUUAAAAGAAAAAAUAAUAUUAGUUUUGUAAAUCGAUUUUGUCAAUGUAAAGAAUAAUAUACCUUUUAGAUAUUAAACGCAAUCCGAUUAAAAAAUAGAUAUUAAAAGCAAAAUUUAAAAGAUAUUAACGGUCAAUGUAAAUCAAUUUGUGUGUGGUUUGUUCACUAGUUUGAGCUUUUUGUUUGUUUUAUGAUUUGAUUUUUAGGUUGUUGUAAGUUGAUACUUUAGUCUCAUUUCCAAGCACAAUUGUGUUGGAUAUGAGGCAUUGACAAUUUUAUUAUAUUUCAUUUUAGUUUCUUAAAAAUAAAUUCUAAGCAUAAUAUAAUUUACAAGUUUGUCAUAUACUCUUACUUUUGUAACAAUAUUUCCAAAAUAAUAGAAUAUAUAGAAAAGAAAUAGUCCUAUUAGAUAUUAGUAUAAAGUGUUUUCCAAAAUAAAUUAGUAUUAAAUAAAAUUUUCAAUUCAUCUUCUUUAAGAGUCUAUUCAAUAUGUCCAUGUAAGUUUAAUUUAUCUAUCAAACUCAAGACGACUCACUUUUUUUUUUUGUUGAAUCCCUGUUCCCUUAUUCACCUUACAUAUGUAAAUUCUUAGCAACUAGAUUAUUUGAAGAAAAAAAUGUAUCCAAUAUUUUAGUUGAAAGUGAUGCGCUCAACGCUAGCUAUCACAUACUUGACAUGACCUAUAAAAUGCAGGCUCGAUACCUCACAAACGGAGAUACCAAACACGCAACUAAUAUCAUUUUCAAUGACGGUAUCUCACACAAUAUGAAAAGUUUAUUUAUUAUAAUGAUUUUAUUCAUAUGUAAUUUUACAUUUUAUUAAAGUAUAAUACUUUAAUCUUAUAGAAAAGUAAAAGUAUCUUAUGUUUAAUCUUAUAAAUAUUUAUGAUUUUAUAAGAAUGAUCACAAAUAUAUUUAUUUAUCUCUUAAUUUAAAAACAAAAAAGGUAUGAUGGGUUUGAUAGUGAUUGAAGUGUGGGGCGUGCUUGAAUCCAAUCUCAACCAUAAUUUGUACCUACAUUUUAUUACCUCUCUAUUUUAUUUUUGGUGAUAUAUUUUUUAUAACAAAAUGCUCAAGUGAACACUUGACCAAAAAUAAAAAUGCUCAAGUGAAUUUGUUCUAGAAUCAAUUAAGGUUAUAAGAGACCUCAAAACUCAAUAAACUCUAACCAAGAAAGACAUUUACAUAUCAUUGAUUAGAGAUGUAUUCACGUUAGUAUUGACAUUCAAAUAAAUGUUUUUGGGGUAUUUAGAACAGACUUCUUAAUCGCAGAAUUGUUGAUAAAAAUAUACUAUUUUUUCUCCACCUUAAAAAUUAGGUAUUGUCUGAUGGACACCCCCACACGCUAAUUCUACAUUUUACUUUAAAUUUCCACUAUAAAAAAUAAAAUAAAAAUAGAGAAAUGAUAUCUGUACAAUCAUUUUUGUACAAUUUUUGUACAAUAUUCUCUCUCAUACUCACAUUAUCUUCUUAUUCUCUUUUUUCAUUUUUCUCUCUCUAUUGUUUUUGACCAAUAAAAAGAGAACACAACAAGAUUGUCCCAAAAAUUAUACCAAAAGAGUUGUUCAAAUAUCACUACUCAUAAAAAAUAAGAUAACAGUGUGUUGAAAUGUAUAGACGUGGGUUCCACUCGAUAUGUCGAAUGAAUGGAUAGGUGUCUUCAAACAUCAGUCCAAAAAAUAUUGUAAAUGUAUCUAACCAACAUGUUGGUUGUUGUACAUCUUGGCAUAUAGGUAAAACAAAAUUUUGCUAAAAAAAGCAAGUAAAUAAACCAAAUAUUUUUUUGAAACAAAACAAGUAAAUGAGUUAAUUUUUUACUCAAAAAAAGAAGUAAAUAAGUCAAUUUAAUUUUGACAAAAAAAGUAAGUAAAUUAAUUAAAACCAUGUUAUUCAUCAAAAUACAAAUAACAUUUUGUUCAUUAUUUUCCUACUUAUUAAAUCCCUUUUCUCAUUCUAAAUUAUAAACAUUUCAACUUUUAAAUUCAUUAAAUAAUUAAUGUAUUUGAUCUAUAUUAGAGAUCAAAUACAUUAAUUAUUUUAUUAAUCAUGAUUUUUUGUUUAUAAUUGAGAUCGAAAUAAAAAAUAUAUUCAUAGCAAUAACUUCACCUGAAUCCAAAUAAAACUUUCUUCAUAAUUCAAUUUGCUACGAAAAACCAUGGGAAUUCGUAGCAAUUCUCCUUCUUCUUCAUUUUCUUCAUCAUCUUCUACGUGUUGUUCACGUUUCUUGUCAUCGGCACUCCGAUCCAAACGCGUC